RNAcentral lists this ribosomal RNA (18 nucleotides) under uncultured Tomentella. RNAcentral's name for it is "partial 28S ribosomal RNA". Lineage: Eukaryota; Fungi; Basidiomycota; Agaricomycetes; Thelephorales; Thelephoraceae. The record is from RNAcentral.
UUGAUCUCAAAUCAGGUA